UAAAAUAAGGCAAUCUACUAUUUUCGGUUUUCGGUUUCCGGCUAGUCACUGGUUUUUACCUACCAACUCCCUAAGCGGCCUCGAUCUCUAUUCGAUUCAAUAUCGAUUGUAAACUUAAAUAUAAAAACAUAAUAAAAUAGUAAAAUAAACAAAAUAAACUAGCGAAAUGCCUAAGUACAAUUAUAGAAGAAUGUGCAUCAAAAUGCACUGAUCAAAUUCCCCCAUACUUGAACUUUUACACUCCAAGCAAAAUUACAAUUUC
RNAcentral lists this long non-coding RNA (262 nucleotides) under Lathyrus oleraceus (garden pea). RNAcentral describes it as "Pisum sativum (pea) long non-coding RNA (PSAT_LNC038101)". The record is from RNAcentral. Lineage: Eukaryota; Viridiplantae; Streptophyta; Magnoliopsida; Fabales; Fabaceae.